AACAAGGCGCCCUACGUGGGACGAGGUGGCCGAGUGGUUAAGGCGAUGGACUGCUAAUCCAUUGUGCUUUGCACGCGUGGGUUCGAAUCCCAUCCUCGUCGGUCGCGUUUUAGACGGCGUGAGGUGUGUACUUUUCUGCUUUCCUAUAGGAAAGGGGCCAGAGGUUCAGCGGCACCCAGAAGACCCUGAUUGGAAUUCUGGCUGAUGCCAGACUUGUGACCACUAUGUCGUCUGCAGUAAUUAGAGAGGCCCCUCCGGAGGUGCUACCGUAGUGUCCAAAGUAGUGGAAUUUGGAAGUGGCAGCCAAGGCUGUUGAAUUGAAGAGGACCAGGGGACCUAUAUUCUGCAACCCCAGCAGUAACACCUACUGAGCACCUGCUCCACACCAGGGGCUGUGUUAGGUACCCCUGAUAGGGCCUUGCAGGACGCUCGACAGGUACUAUCUUUGAAGGUUUUCACUGGUGACCUGUACUGGGAGAGAGGAGAAAUGAAUGUGCAGAUCCCUUUAGCACAAGCCUUGCAAACCGAAGGCUCGGACGUCAGAUUUGGUGCUGUUAGGGUCUUUUUUGACCUGCUCGGUGUUGAAAACAACCAUUUGAAUCACGUUAGUGGUUAACCUUGGUGAAUCAGAAGAUUUCACGGAAAAUCCCCACUGCCAACUUCUGUUUUAAAUUCCAAAAGAUCUGGCAAUUCCAGGCCGGGCCUGCAUUUCCACAGGGUGACAAUCAACCAGAAGGUAAGAGUAGCUCACCUUUUGCAAAUAGUUUUCUCUUUGCUAGAGGCUCAACCCUGCCCCUUCACUACUCACCCUGGCCCUUUGAGCAUUUGACUUUCAUCUGCAGCGCUCACAUAAUACCACCUCCACUGAAGAUCUGCCCAGGCAUCUGCUCCCAGUACCUUCCACCUCCCCCGCGCUACAAUGCUAGCCACAUAGCAGGCAGCAAUCUGUGUUUGUUGAAUGAGUGAAUAGGAAGCUUCUGAAGUGUCCCCAUUGGCCUUGGCAUAAGGGGAGACCGAAAAGUAGUGACUGGGCCUCACUGAGGCGUCAAGAUCAAGGAAAACCACACAGAAAACCCAGAGGAAGGCCUACAGACUGCUAUUGUGGGCGGAAAGGCCUGGCUGGGGAGACACGCUGUCUGUGAUGGAGCAGAGCAUGAGAGAGUCAAAGACCAGAGUUGAAAACCAUUAAUAAGGGGUCUGCUUUCCACGUACCUUACUCUCUGCGUCUCUUCCCUCUGGCCAUUCCUGAUUUAUAUAUCCCUUUGUAAUAAACCUGUAAACCAGCGAGUGAAA
Molecule: long non-coding RNA, 1293 nt
Organism: Felis catus (domestic cat)
Lineage: Eukaryota; Metazoa; Chordata; Mammalia; Carnivora; Felidae
Exons: 2
Source: RefSeq, a predicted model, not a curated record